RNAcentral lists this non-coding RNA (97 nucleotides) under Candidatus Pararuminococcus gallinarum. Its description in RNAcentral is "SAM riboswitch (S box leader)". It matches the Rfam family "SAM riboswitch aptamer (S box leader)". From Rfam's summary of the family: The SAM riboswitch is found upstream of a number of genes which code for proteins involved in methionine or cysteine biosynthesis in Gram-positive bacteria. The SAM riboswitch acts at the level of transcription termination control. The predicted structure consists of a complex stem-loop region followed by a single stem loop terminator region. Lineage: Bacteria; Bacillati; Bacillota; Clostridia. The record is from RNAcentral.
CUUAUCAAGAGUGGCGGAGGGAACAGGCCCGAUGAUGCCCGGCAACCUGCAAUGAAAUGCGUAAGGUGCCAAUUCCUGCGGCUUUGACCGGAGAUGA